GGGAAGCAGUCAGUAGUUCCUUUUCCAGGUGUCUGUAGCUGUUAGGGUUUGCAUAGCUGUGGGCAGGCAGGCACGCCCGUGUCACUGCCAUCAUCCUUUGUGUGAUGGAGGGAAGUGUCUCUGUUUGCUGCUUGGCCUGGGCAAACGUGAUUUUAACAGCAAGGUACAGAUGAAGUGCUACAGGAAAUUACUGAAUUCUAAUUAAGAGAAGAGUCUGAGGAACUGGCUGCAAAGGCAACCCUUGUGAGCUGAGCAGGGAAGGAAGGUGCUGAAGGAAGGCAGGAGGGUUAUCCCCUCAUUACUGGUCACGUGCACUGCAGUGCUGCUGGAGGGAUCUGUCAGAUUUGGCUACGUUUGACUUAGGUGCUGCCCAAAGCUUAACAAAUGAUGGGGCUUGGAGUUCAGAAAGAGCUGUGAUAAGGGAAAGAUUCCACCUGCAACUAUCCCAACAGGUUUUCUUCUUCUCCUGACUAAAAGAAGAGAAAAGCAGAGGAGACAUGAUGUGGAGGAAUUCAGAAUGACCAAGAAAAAUCACAAUUUUCUCUGCUU
This is a long non-coding RNA of Cyanistes caeruleus (blue tit), 549 nucleotides long. RefSeq lists it as uncharacterized. The record is from RefSeq and is a predicted model, not a curated record. Lineage: Eukaryota; Metazoa; Chordata; Aves; Passeriformes; Paridae.